Molecule: ribosomal RNA, 460 nt
Filed under: uncultured bacterium
Lineage: Bacteria
Description: partial 16S ribosomal RNA
Rfam family: Bacterial small subunit ribosomal RNA
Source: RNAcentral
CCUACGGGUGGCAGCAGUGAGGAAUAUUGGUCAAUGGACGAGAGUCUGAACCAGCCAAGUAGCGUGAAGGAUGACUGCCCUAUGGGUUGUAAACUUCUUUUAUAUGGGAAUAAAAUGUUCCACGUGUGGGAUUUUGUAUGUACCAUAUGAAUAAGGAUCGGCUAACUCCGUACCAGCAGCCGCGGUAAUACGGAGGAUCCGAGCGUUAUCCGGAUUUAUUGGGUUUAAAGGGAGCGUAGGUGGAUUGUUAAGUCAGUUGUGAAAGUUUGCGGCUCAACCGUAAAAUUGCAGUUGAAACUGGCAGUCUUGAGUACAGUAGAGGUGGGCGGAAUUCGUGGUGUAGCGGUGAAAUGCUUAGAUAUCACGAAGAACUCCGAUUGCGAAGGCAGUUCACUGGACUGCAACUGACACUGAGGCUCGAAAGUGUGGGUAUCAAACAGGAUUAGAUACCCGUGUAGUC